This 85-nucleotide transfer RNA is filed under the name Streptomyces bingchenggensis BCW-1. Its description in RNAcentral is "tRNA-Leu (TAG) (tRNA-Leu-TAG-1-1)". It matches the Rfam family "tRNA". Rfam says of the family: Transfer RNA (tRNA) molecules are approximately 80 nucleotides in length. Their secondary structure includes four short double-helical elements and three loops (D, anti-codon, and T loops). RNAcentral also lists the same sequence under 5 other names. The record is from RNAcentral. Lineage: Bacteria; Bacillati; Actinomycetota; Actinomycetes; Kitasatosporales; Streptomycetaceae.
GCGGCCGUGGCGUAAUCAGGCAGCCGCGCGGCGCUUAGGCCGCCGUGGGAGAAAUCCCGUGUGGGUUCGAGUCCCACCGGCCGCA